UUUUUUUUUUUUUUUUUUUUGAAGCUGAGGACCGAACCCAGGGCCUCGCGCUUGCCUACAAGCGCUCUACCACUGAGCUAAAUCCCCAACCCCCCCCCUUCCCAUUUUUGAUAGCCCAGGCUAAUCUGGAACAUCCUGUUUCCCAAGCUGACCUCCAACUAGUAAAUCUCUUGGCUGAAGCUGCUGAGUCUUUGAGUUACAGACCUAUCAUGUUGCUCUGGGACCGCAUCAUUCUGGUCUAUGCCAUUUCAGCCAUCCUGGGACCUCACCUUGACCCUGCUCCUGGUGUGAUGCAUAUCUGGGUAGGAUCUGUGACUGAUGGGCAUAUCCUAACAAGUCUUCCUCCAGUGCCCUCCUGAAGCUGUGAAGAGUGAACCUAGAUUCUGCUCUGACAUCCACACCCUUAGAACUCAGCAGGCGUCUAAGAAAAGAGAGAAGGAAGCCUGCUACAGCAGACACACCAAGUGUCCAACUUACCUCAAGAAUUAAAGGAAGUAAUAUGGGAGAUGAAUUCUCCUCAACUAGGAAGAUUUCCCCUCGAGUCAGAGAGAGGUCUUGGGACCUGGUGACCUUGGUCUCUAUAGGCUGACCUCACUAAUAAGCCUCCUAGGAACAAAGAUACAAGAUUGUUAUUAAGAGUUGGCAAGAUGGCUCAGGAAUAAAGGUGUUAGGACCCAAGUGGGGUCUCUCGCAGUGAAAGGCAGACAAUGAGCACUCUCUGACAUGGCAAACUAUAUAAAGCGCACAGGGUAAUAAACUCUUUUAACAAAAGAAAUUACUUUAGACUGUCAAAUUCGCUGAGUGGAAUGCUAGCAUAGCAUACAGGAAACCAUGGAUUCCUUCCCUUGUACAGUGUAAAGGGCCCGUGGGAGGUUAUGUGUGAAUCCCAACAUUCCCAAAUGUGCAGGCAAAAGUCAGUGAUAGUAGCACACUCCUUAUAUCCCAACACUUGGCAGGCAGAGCCAGGCAGGUCUCUGUGAGUUCCAGGACAGCUAGGGAUACACAGAGAGACCCUGUCCUGAAACAACAAAAACGCUACAGGGAACUGAGUUGGGAGUUCAGUGUCAUAGUAAGAGAUGUGGGGAGUCUAUGGCCAUCCUACAUGGCUACAUGAGAAGGUCAAGUGGCAUUAAAAGCUCCUCCUUUGAAUCCUUGUCAUUUUUAAUGUGUGAGUGAGGAUGAAGUGCAUCAAGCCCUUCCUCUGGUGUGGUCCUGGCCGUACACAUGCUUUAAAGCAGUGUUUCUUCUUCUCUACAUCCUUUAGUUCUCUGUAGUUAUCUAGAAAGGGGGCUAAGGAGAAGGACUUUGGACAAAAGAGAAGCCAAGAGUCUAACUUACCUCAAAAAGUAUGGAAAAUAACUUGGAGACUUGAAGAGGGGAACUCCAACUGGUGGGGAUCUGGCAGAGGACUUGACCCCAAGGGUCACAGGUCCUGAAACCUGCUGAUAUAGGGCCCUACUGGCCUACGACAAAAGAGAAAGGAUUGUCAUUAAGGAUAGUUCUUAGGGACAAGGCAGAUGAUUUAAGUGAUAAAGGAACUGGCUACCAGUCUGGCCAUCUGAGUUCCCUGUAGGAUCUGCAUAGUGGAAAGAGAACAGAAUCCUGGAAGUUGUCCUCAAUCUUCCCAUAUAUACAUGGAGUGUUAACACAUAGUAAAGACUAAAUGGAGUUCAACAUUCUAACAGAAGGAGUGAGCAGAGUUGGCAGAGUGCUGUCCCAGCCUUCAGGAAACCAUGGGUCCUCUCUCUUGCACCAAGAGUACAAAAUAGGUAAGGCUUGUAGUUCUAGCACUUCUCAAUGUGGGAGCAGCUGGGUCAGGGCUUCCAAGUCACCAACGAUGGCCAGCAGCAUGGUGAGUGAGACUAUGAGAUGGUAUUGAAGGCUCUUGUUGAUCUCUCGGAAACUCUGCCCAUUCUUCUUUUGAGCCUUUUUGUGUGUUUAAUGGGGGUGGUGACCUGUGUGCUGUGCCGUAGUAGACUGUGGAGAGGACAGGGCAUCUUCCAGUGUUGGCCCCCUCUCUCUACUCUUUAGAUACAGGGUUUCUCCUCCACUGUAUGCACCAGGAUCGUCGUCCAGUGAGUUUACAGUCUGCCUGCUUUCUUAUGAGAAGAGAGCAUGAGUAAUGAUGACCCCACUGGCCUGCCUGCCAGGCCUUGGCAUUUGUCCUGGAGACUCAAGUCACAUCUUCGAAUGAAGGAGCUGGGGACUGAACCUAGGGCCUUGCAAGCACUCUACCACUGAGCUAAAUACCCAACCCUGAACCUUUGAACCUGUAAGCCAGCCCCAACUAAAUGUUGUCCUUUACAA
Rattus norvegicus (Norway rat) is the source of this 2307-nucleotide non-coding RNA. The record is from RefSeq and is a predicted model, not a curated record. NCBI's taxonomy places the organism in Eukaryota, Metazoa, Chordata, Mammalia, Rodentia, Muridae.